UACUGUAGUAUAUUGUAGUCUAUUGUAGUAUAUUGUAGUCUACUGUAGUCUACUGUAGUAUAUUGUAGUAUAUUGU
Molecule: non-coding RNA, 76 nt
Organism: Pangasianodon gigas (Mekong giant catfish)
Lineage: Eukaryota; Metazoa; Chordata; Actinopteri; Siluriformes; Pangasiidae
Source: the annotation of a GenBank genome assembly